This 1054-nucleotide unclassified non-coding RNA is filed under the name Hevea brasiliensis (rubber tree). Lineage: Eukaryota; Viridiplantae; Streptophyta; Magnoliopsida; Malpighiales; Euphorbiaceae. The record is from RNAcentral.
CGUAGAAGAGAGCGUGAGGAGAAUGCUCGACUUGCUAAAGGUCAGAUUGGAGUCACUGAUAACAAACUUGCUCAGGAGUUGAAGCAAGAGGGAUCUUCACUUGUGGAAAGUCCUGGAGGUGAAGAUUCAUCAUCAAAUAUGGAUGAAUCAAUAGAUCCAGAUGGAGAUGCUGAGGUGGAAGGAAAGGGACCGGAGGUGAAAGUAGAGGAUCCUGAGCAGCGAUACGGCUCUGUCAAAGAGAAGCAUGAGGCAGAGGAGGAUGGGGAUGAUGAGGAAGAGGAGGAAGAAGAGGAAGAGAAUGAGAUGGAGAUUCAAAAGAAAGGGAAGGUUGAAACAUCAGAGCAAUCAGAGUUUGCUGAUAGAUCAGGAGAGGAGCCCAAUCAACAAUCUCAACCUGGACUAGCAGAGAAUGCAGGUGCGGUGGGCCAAACACAUCCUGCGAAGGGACAUGCUAUAGGGCAGCAUGAGGAAGUAACUCCAACGGUUGAGCAAAAUAAGAAUAAGGAAUCACAAGAAAAACACAAGNNNNNNNNNNNNUUUGAGAAGUUUGAUUCUGAAAAUCCAAUGCUUCUGAGUCUGUGCAGAACUCUGUUUCCUGACAACCAUAAAUCUAUAUGGACUGGGCCUCACUCACUGUUUCAGCGUGAAGGUUCUACUCGUGGAAGUUCUAUUCAUGCUGCCAUUGAAACUUUGAUGUAGGUAGUUUUUGAUAACUUAUCAUUGCCCUACAAAGGAUCUGAAGCUAUCUUAUGGCUGUCUAUAUCAAAUAUAACGUUCCAGGGUGGCGUGUUUGAUAUACAUGCUUAGAUACAAAUGGAAUUUCUGGUAGUUAGCGGUACUUGUCUAACUGAGGAUAAUCUGCUCUGGUAAAGUUAGGGUGGAAUGACAUACCUCAAGAUCGACAAAAUGACCUUGAUUUACAAUCUGAGUCUGCAUGUUUUAGUUAUCUUUUGGUGAUGUGGGAAGAUGCAAUGGUAUUUCUUAUUGUGAAAAUGAAAACACAUUCAUAUUAGAAGCUGUAAUGACUUCAUGUUGAGCAAGGAUUCUUAUAGGG